This 119-nucleotide ribosomal RNA is filed under the name Pteropus alecto (black flying fox). Lineage: Eukaryota; Metazoa; Chordata; Mammalia; Chiroptera; Pteropodidae. The record is from RNAcentral.
GUCUAUGGCCAUGCCACCCUGAACAAUCUCGGUCCUGUCUGAUCUCGGAAGCUAAGCAGGGUCAGGCCUGGUUAGUACUUGGAUGGGAGACCAUCUAGGAAGACCAGGUGCUGUAAGCG